RNAcentral lists this transfer RNA (70 nucleotides) under Styracaster yapensis. Its description in RNAcentral is "tRNA-His". It matches the Rfam family "tRNA". Rfam says of the family: Transfer RNA (tRNA) molecules are approximately 80 nucleotides in length. The record is from RNAcentral. Lineage: Eukaryota; Metazoa; Echinodermata; Asteroidea; Paxillosida; Porcellanasteridae.
AUCAAAGUAGUUAAAAAUAUAACUUUAAUUUGUGACAUUAAAAUUAUCAGUUAAAACCUGAUCUAAGAUC